AGGCCUACGGGACGCAGCAGUGGGGGAUAUUGCACAAUGGGGGGAACCCUGAUGCAGCGACGCCGCGUGGGUGAAGAAGCGCCUCGGCGCGUAAAGCCCUGUCAGCAGGGAAGAAAAUGACGGUACCUGUAGAAGAAGCCCCGGCUAACUACGUGCCAGCAGCCGCGGUAAUACGCAGGGGGCAAGCGUUAUCCGGAUUUACUGGGUGUAAAGGGGGCGCAGACGGCGCUG
RNAcentral lists this ribosomal RNA (231 nucleotides) under uncultured bacterium. RNAcentral describes it as "partial 16S ribosomal RNA". It matches the Rfam family "Bacterial small subunit ribosomal RNA", at positions 335 to 583 of the family's 1533-position model. The record is from RNAcentral.